Cryptomeria japonica (Japanese cedar) is the source of this 583-nucleotide long non-coding RNA. RefSeq lists it as uncharacterized. The record is from RefSeq and is a predicted model, not a curated record. The transcript is spliced from 2 exons. NCBI's taxonomy places the organism in Eukaryota, Viridiplantae, Streptophyta, Pinopsida, Cupressales, Cupressaceae.
UAGGGUUUUAUGAUAUUUUAGGGUUUUAUAGAGACCAAAUAGCAUAAAGAGGUUCAUGUAGAACGUGACAUUCAAGUGACGAUGAAAAUGUUUUCUUAUGCUCCUGGGCUUGGAUUCCACAAAUACCCAUUACUGAUUUUGUUGGAAGAUUAGAUUCUGAUAUGGGUGAUACUGACCGUGAGAAGAAUGUUUAGAAAACAGAAUGAAAUUGUUGUUUUAAUGUUAAAUGCCUCAUUUGCAGUAGUCAAGACUUAAGAUGACUAUUGGUUCGAGCUUUCUUUCUAUGAAUGCACAACCAAAUCCAGAUGGUCAAAUGGAUUGUGGAAAUCUGCUUGACCUUUCUUACUCUUCUCAAGUUUCUGAUGCAGACAGCUGAGCUCUAGAGCUCAGAAAUCUUACUCACGUAAAUAAUUUUUUUGAAAAGAAACAUCUCAGACGGGAAGAAAAGAAGAAAUCAAAUAAUAACCCGCUCGACACUUUUCUUCAUAUUUAUAUAUGUGAACACAAAUCCCAUUUGCUACUAUCCCAUCUUUUUCGAUAUGUAUACAAACAUUUAAUAGCAUUUAACUGUAACUGAUUUUUA